CCUACGGGGGGCAGCAGUGGGGGAUAUUGCACAAUGGGGGAAACCCUGAUGCAGCGACGCCGCGUGUGGGAAGACGGUCCUCUGGAUUGUAAACCACUGUCCCCAGGGACGAAAAUGACGGUACCUGGGGAGGAAGCUCCGGCUAACUACGUGCCAGCAGCCGCGGUAAUACGUAGGGAGCGAGCGUUGUCCGGAAUUACUGGGUGUAAAGGGAGCGUAGGCGGGGAUGCAAGUUGGGUGUCAAAACUACCGGCUCAACUGGUAGUCGCACUCAAAACUGCAGCUCUUGAGUGAAGUAGAGGCAGGCGGAAUUCCUAGUGUAGCGGUGAAAUGCGUAGAUAUUAGGAGGAACACCGGCGGCGAAGGCGGCCUGCUGGACUGAAACUGACGUUGAGGCUCGAAAGCGUGGGGAGCAAACAGGAUUAGAUACCCCUGUAGUC
This 440-nucleotide ribosomal RNA is filed under the name uncultured bacterium. Its description in RNAcentral is "partial 16S ribosomal RNA". It matches the Rfam family "Bacterial small subunit ribosomal RNA", at positions 338 to 795 of the family's 1533-position model. The record is from RNAcentral.